RNAcentral lists this non-coding RNA (98 nucleotides) under Paenibacillus sp. Its description in RNAcentral is "Glycine sequence". It matches the Rfam family "Glycine riboswitch aptamer". Rfam says of the family: This family represents the bacterial glycine riboswitch. Glycine riboswitches usually consist of two metabolite-binding aptamers domains with similar structures in tandem. Lineage: Bacteria; Bacillati; Bacillota; Bacilli; Caryophanales; Paenibacillaceae. The record is from RNAcentral.
AUGAAGAUAUGGGGAGAGAUUACCGUAACGCUGGUAACGCCGAAGGAGUAAGCCGUAAAUCCGGUGAAUCUCUCAGGCAAAAGGACUUAUAUCGGACG